This is an unclassified non-coding RNA of Cricetulus griseus (Chinese hamster), 110 nucleotides long. It matches the Rfam family "Y RNA". From Rfam's summary of the family: Y RNAs are components of the Ro ribonucleoprotein particle (Ro RNP), in association with Ro60 and La proteins. The record is from Ensembl. NCBI's taxonomy places the organism in Eukaryota, Metazoa, Chordata, Mammalia, Rodentia, Cricetidae.
GGUUGGUCCGAAGGUAGUGAGUUACCUCAAUCGAUUGCUCACAGUCAGUCACAGAUCGAAUUCCUGCUCUACACUUUCCCCCUCCUCAUCACUAUACUUGACUGCCUUUA